UUUGUGUCCUGUAUGAACCCUAGACACCGCCAGUAUGAGGCGCACAGUGAUGAUGUCAGAGGUUUUCCUGCUCCUACUGCUGGCAAGCUUCAUCUCCGCAGACCAGAGCACUGUUCCUAUGGAUGUGUCUGAGAGUCCAUCUCCCUAUUCGUCCAGUUUCUGGUGCGGCUCCCGGUACUGCAACAACGGUCUGGACUGUCUGGAAGUCGACGACUCCAAAAGGUGUGUGGACCCCUGCGAUCACUACUCCAUCCUGGAUGACCCUCGCCGCUCAGUCUCCAACAAGCUCCACUCGGACAGGUACUCUCUCAACGACCGCGACAUCCGCUGGGCCGGGUGGUACCGCAUGAUGCUGAAUGGCGUCAAUGCUAAGAUUCCCGAGAUCUGCGUGGGAGAGUCCAUGUGUGGGGCCCAGUACCCACUGUGGCUCAGCAGCAGACACCCCCGUCCGGAGGACGGAGUGGUACGUUCCAACGUGUGUGGCGUGGGGAGGGGCAGCUGCUGCAGGUAUGACUCUAAGCAGAUACACGUGAAAAUGUGUCCUGGUGGCUUCUAUAUCUACAAGCUGGUGACACCUUAUAAGAGCGAUUCUGCCUACUGCGCUGCUGUUUCAGAGCUCCCAACAACUACAACUACCACGACCCCCGAACCCACCACUACCACGACCCCCGAACCCACCACUACCACGACCCCCGAACCCACCACUACCACGACCCCCGAACCCACCACUACCACGACCCCCGAACCCACCACUACCACGACCCCCGAACCCACCACGACCCCCGAACCCACCACUACCACGACCCCCAAACCCACCACUACCACGACCCCCGAACCCACCACUACCACUACCACGACCCCCAAACCCACCACUACCACGACCCCCGAACCCACCACUACCACAACCCCCGAACCCACCACUACCACGACCCCCGAACCCACCACUACCACGACCCCCGAACCCACCACUACCACGACCCCCGAACCCACCACUACCACGACCCCCAAACCCACCACUACCACGACCCCCGAACCCACCACUACCACGACCCCCGAACCCACCAUGACCCCCGAACCCACCACUACCACGACCCCCGAACCCACCACUACCACUACCACGACCCCCGAACCAACCACUACCACGACCCCCGAACCCACCACUACCACGACCCCCGAACCCACCACUACCACGACCCCUGAACCCACAAUUCUUCCACCAAUUGCAAAGCCAUACCUGGAGUGCGGGAGGAAUGUCAUAGAAGUAGGGCUCCCAUCGGCUGAGAUGAAGGCCAUCGGCCUGGACUCCUCCUCGGCACACCUGUCAGAUCGUCUCUGCUCCACUCACCUGGAGCGUGACGGGAAGAUGUGGUACCAGGUGGAUCGCAAGGAGGGAAGCUGUGGAAACAGUCUGAAGACCAACGGAUCUCACGCUAUCUUCUCCAACAACAUCUUCGUUUACCCUUUGAACCUAGCCUCUGACUCUCUGUCUCAACCAAUCAGAAUCCACUUCUCUUGCGUCUACCCAAUGGACACAGAGACCAGUCUGGAUGUGGUAAUAAAGCCCUAUUUGGGACUGGAUGGAGCAGGCCUGGUGAAUGUGGGACCCAAGGCCAAGGCUUCCAUGUCUCUGUUCCACAGCGCUGACUACAUGGAGCCCUACCCAGCAGGCCCGGUCACUCUGCCCCUGGGCUCCGUCCUGCAUGUGGGCGUGUCCGUACAGGACACAGAGACGGAUCGCUUUGUGGUCGUUCUGGAGGACUGCUACGCCACCCACUCCGCCAAUCCUUACAAUCUCACAAGAUACUUCCUCAUCCAGCACAAGUGUCCAGCCGACCGUCGCCAGGUGACCGUGGAGGAGAGUGGCUUGUCCCUCCAGGCUCGCUUCUCUGCGCUGCUGUUCCUGUUCCAGGGGGACUACAGGGACGUCUACCUGCACUGCAGCCUCAACCUGUGUGACCAGAGGAGCUCCUCCUGCUCUCCUAUGUGUUCCAGAAGAGCAGCACGUUCUGUCUCCGAGUCUCUCCCUCUCAAGCCCCUCACCAUUGGACCAAUCACCUGGGACAGCAGACUUGACUGAGCUCCCCUUCCUCAGCUGCUUACUGGAUCCAAACAUCAUGUCACUUUAUGAUAACCUUCCCUGUGAUGACCAACUGUCGCUCAGAUUCCUUCUACUAAAACCCCUUUAAAGAUGAAUGCUCAAUCUCAAUUAUCUUGGUUAUCUUAUUCUGUUUUAUUUUCAUUGCCAUGUGAA
This is an RNA transcript of Osmerus eperlanus (European smelt), 2251 nucleotides long. It is a transcript of the gene named pancreatic secretory granule membrane major glycoprotein GP2-like, with no coding region annotated. The transcript is spliced from 10 exons. The record is from RefSeq and is a predicted model, not a curated record. Lineage: Eukaryota; Metazoa; Chordata; Actinopteri; Osmeriformes; Osmeridae.